RNAcentral lists this ribosomal RNA (448 nucleotides) under Pennate diatom sp. W5-1. Its description in RNAcentral is "bacterial SSU rRNA". It matches the Rfam family "Bacterial small subunit ribosomal RNA", at positions 355 to 817 of the family's 1533-position model. Lineage: Eukaryota; Bacillariophyta. The record is from RNAcentral.
UGAGGAAUUUUCCGCAAUGGGCGAAAGCCUGACGGAGCAAUCUCGCGUGAGGGAUGACGGCCUAUGGGUUGUAAACCUCUUUUUUCAGGGAGGAAUAAAUGACGUGUACCUGAAGAAUAAGCAUCGUCUAACUCCGUGCCAGCAGCCGCGGUAAGACGGAGGAUGCAAGUGUUAUCCGGAAUCACUGGGCGUAAAGCGUCUGUAGGUGGUUUAGUAAGUCAACUGUUAAAUCUUGAGGCUCAACCUCAAAAUCGCAGUCGAAACUAUUAGACUAGAGUAUAGUAGGGGUAAAGGGAAUUUCCAGUGGAGCGGUGAAAUGCGUAGAUAUUGGAAAGAACACCGAUGGCGAAGGCACUUUACUGGGCUAUUACUGACACUCAGAGACGAAAGCUAGGGUAGCAAAUGGGUUUAGAUACCCCAGUAGUCCUAGCCGUAAACGAUGGAUACU